UUUUUAACAAAACAUCAUUUUAUUUUAACAUAAACAGCAAAUACAAAAAAAUCAAUUAUACACAAACAGGUUUGCCGUUAGUAUCUGCAGAGCAGCACAUGUAGAAAUGCCCUGAGAGUUGCCUGUUUCAAUACAGGAAAAAAACCCGAAAAAACUCGAAAAACAUUACUCACCUCAAAGAAUUUCCAGUCUAAACUCCAAAGAACGGAAUCGUGACUUUAGACUAAACAGACUCACACUUACACACACACCUACACAAACAGACACUAACAGCAGCUCAGCUUGGAUGAACAUGCAGUGACUUUUCCUUGAAAUAUGUUUUGUUUUGUUUUUUACAUAAUUACAUUAUUUCUUUUCUAUUUUCUCUUUCCACACCAACAAUACAACAUCUCAUAAUGAACAGAUUGUAUAGUUAUGGGUUACAAUUCACUUUUUUUCCUACAUUUAAAUAGGAGAAUGAAAUUGGAUUAACUGACUGGUGGGAAAUCAGCAAACAGUCAAAAAUUGAGCCAAAUUUGACGGAUGAGGUUAAACGUUGUCCGUACAAAUAUUUUGUGUGUAACUGAGUCAUCUAAAGCUGUUAAUCAAUUUAUUCAUUAACCAAAUAUAUUAAAAUGUGCAGAGCUUUCCAUUUUAGUGGUUAACAAUUUCCAGUCACUGGCAUUGUACAUUAACCCUCUGAGAUCCAAGUUGCAAUUAGUUCUAAAAAGCACGCCACUUCCAAAGAUGCAUAAAUGCAUUGAGUUGCUGUCAUAUGAUUGGCUGAUCAGAAAUCUGCUUUUAGAAGCAGUUGAAUGGGUGAACCUAACAAAGUGGCUGUCUUGGCAAUCAUGGAAUAAAGACAAUAGAGACUCUAUACAGACCCAUCACACAUUAUGUCUUAUUUUACACAAAUAUCUGUUUCUUUUUUCAUAUGAGGGGAUCGGGAUUAACACCUUUGAUGACUCAGUCCUCAGAGGGUUAAUAAAAUAUGAAUAAUUACUUCAGCUGACCAGCAAGUAUACCAGCAUUCAAGCCUCCGGCUGACUAAUUGUGCACAUAUCUAGCACAUACCAGCUAUUUCUUAGACUUGAAUGAACAGAACUGCUGUGCUCCAAACUUUGCCAGUUGGUCUUAGUUGCAGAGCAUGAAUACAACCCUCUGGUUUUCACACUGCUGAGCUAUUCUGCAGCAUCCAGGCAAACGAGCAGGUGAGUGCUGGACUCUCGUGCGGCUGCUGUGCCAAACUCCUGUCCCUCCUGUCUGUAGUCAGCAACCUGGAAGAAAAUGAAGAAUAUGUUCACACAGGAGCCUUACAGAACAUUUGGUAGAUGCUUACAAUGCUCUAACGGGUUAUCUAUGUGGUGUGAAGACAAACACACAAUGCAGGUUUUAGUCUAGUCUAAGGAAUCCAACGCAGGUGUCAUUGGCUAAGAUGCAGGACAUACAAGUAGAAAAUAUUUCGAUUAAAUAAAACACAUUUUUAUAUCCUAAAAAGACAUUUUUCCGUUUGCUCUCAAUGUCACCAAGUUCAAAAUCCAAAAUAUUCAACAAAAACAACGACAACAGUACAUUUAAAGUGUUAACCAAUAUCUUUCUGCAGCCAGGUUUACCAAGAAGUCCCAGGCCUAUCACACAGAUGUUUUUUUAAAAAAUACAUUUGCUCCCAAAUAUUUCUUCACCUGUUAAUAAAACGAUGUAGAGUAUUCUCUUAAAAAAAUACAAUGCAUUUAAUCUGACUCCAGCGCCCCUGCUGUGUGGAAGCUGCCGUCCCGCCAUGGAUCGAUCGUAUUUCUAAACCCCCAAAACUGUUCCAUAACUCAUAUCUUUCAUGUGACGUCCGUUUGGUUCUGCUCUGGUGGUGAG
This is a long non-coding RNA of Astatotilapia calliptera (eastern happy), 1845 nucleotides long. The record is from Ensembl. NCBI's taxonomy places the organism in Eukaryota, Metazoa, Chordata, Actinopteri, Cichliformes, Cichlidae.